AGUCCUGUAGCUCAGUGGUUAGAGCAUUUCAUCAAAAAUGAGAGACCUGGGUUCAAUUCCCAGCAGGGUGA
Molecule: non-coding RNA, 71 nt
Organism: Callorhinchus milii (elephant shark)
Lineage: Eukaryota; Metazoa; Chordata; Chondrichthyes; Chimaeriformes; Callorhinchidae
Source: the annotation of a RefSeq genome assembly